CGUAAAGCGCAUGCAGGUGGUUUGUUAAGUCAGAUGUGAAAGCCCGGGGCUCAACCUCGGAAUAGCAUUUGAAACUGGCAGACUAGAGUACUGUAGAGGGGGGUAGGAAUUUCAGGUGUAGCGGUGAAAUGCGUAGAGAUCUGAAGGAAUACCGGUGGCGAAGGCGGCCCCCUGGACAGAUACUGACACUCAGAUCGCGAAAGCGUGGGGAGCAAACCAGGAUUAGAUACCCUCGGUAG
RNAcentral lists this ribosomal RNA (239 nucleotides) under uncultured bacterium. RNAcentral's name for it is "partial 16S ribosomal RNA". It matches the Rfam family "Bacterial small subunit ribosomal RNA", at positions 559 to 793 of the family's 1533-position model. The record is from RNAcentral.